This 410-nucleotide ribosomal RNA is filed under the name uncultured Nitrososphaerota archaeon. RNAcentral's name for it is "bacterial SSU rRNA". It matches the Rfam family "Archaeal small subunit ribosomal RNA", at positions 451 to 861 of the family's 1478-position model. Lineage: Archaea; Thermoproteati; Nitrososphaerota. The record is from RNAcentral.
UCUGGUGUCAGCCGCCGCGGUAAAACCAGCGCCUCAAGUGGUCAGGAUGAUUAUUGGGCCUAAAGCAUCCGUAGCCGGCUCUGUAAGUUUUCGGUUAAAUCUGUACGCUCAACGUACAGGCUGCCGGGAAUACUGCAGAGCUAGGGAGUGGGAGAGGUAGACGGUACUCGGUAGGAAGGGGUAAAAUCCUUUGAUCUAUUGAUGACCACCUGUGGCGAAGGCGGUCUACCAGAACACGUCCGACGGUGAGGGAUGAAAGCUGGGGGAGCAAACCGGAUUAGAUACCCGGGUAGUCCUAGCUGUAAACUAUGCAAACUCAGUGAUGCAUUGGCUUGUGGCCAAUGCAGUGCUGCAGGGAAGCCGUUAAGUUUGCCGCCUGGGAAGUGCGUACGCAAGUAUGAAACUUAAAG